UAAGCUGUGUAUUUGUUUACGCCAUAGAU
Molecule: small RNA, 29 nt
Filed under: Bombyx mori (domestic silkworm)
Lineage: Eukaryota; Metazoa; Arthropoda; Insecta; Lepidoptera; Bombycidae
Description: ovarian small RNA-19284
Source: RNAcentral